Molecule: long non-coding RNA, 432 nt
Organism: Brassica oleracea var. oleracea
Lineage: Eukaryota; Viridiplantae; Streptophyta; Magnoliopsida; Brassicales; Brassicaceae
Exons: 3
Source: RefSeq, a predicted model, not a curated record
GUUCAUAAAAAGCAGCAACAUUAAAUAUAGAAGCCAAGAAGUUUUAUAGUCAGUUCAUACUCAUCACAUCAAGAUAACAAGUUGGUGCAACCUAUAAAAACAUAACUAAUGGCAACCAAGAAAUUUGCAUCUCUUCUGCUACCUUUGUUGAUGGCCAUGCUUACUCUCACAUUUAUCUCUACGGUUUCAGGUGAGAAAGACUGUGAACCACAUGAUUAUGGCAGUUGUCCUAAGGACAAGGAUUGUACUGCCCAUUGUGAAUCUCUCGGAUUCAAAUUGGGGGGAGUGUGUGUUCCAAGGGAAAGGAAAAAUCCUUUCUGUUGCUGCAGGACAAAUUUGACAAGUCGUCACGUGUCCCCUAAUUAAUCUUAACUUUAAUUCAAUAUGAAAUUAUGUACUCUCUCUCAAUUAUAUGAAUAAAAAAUAAAAUUC